AAAUCAGCAAUAGGGCUUCUCUUUCUUGGCAGGAAAUUAUCAUUCCAUGGUGUAUCUUGCCAAAGGAGAGUUGCCCUGUUGUUGCUUU
RNAcentral lists this microRNA precursor (88 nucleotides) under Trifolium pratense (red clover). RNAcentral's name for it is "pre miRNA mir-399". Lineage: Eukaryota; Viridiplantae; Streptophyta; Magnoliopsida; Fabales; Fabaceae. The record is from RNAcentral.